CAAAAGGGGAUGAAGCGUGCGAGGAGCCCCGCGGGCGGCGCGGGGGAGGAUGCAGGGCCGUGCCGUGCCGGGGAGCUCGCCCAGGGCUGCCGGGUUGCUACAGCAACCGGGGCUUUGUUUGUACAUAGCGGGAGCAGCUGCCUCCCUCCCGCCUCCCUCCCGCCCGGCUGGGCUGCGGCAGGGCCGGGCCGGCCGCUCCCUCCGCCGCGGGGCCGCUGCGGCCCUAAGGACACGAACGGUGCUCCGAGAGAUCAAGUCCCACUGAAAGAAAAAGGCUGCCACCUGAAACAGUAGCACUCUCUCUGUGCUGCUACUGCUGAUGGUGGGACAGACGAGAAGUUAUGUGGCAAUAUCCUUAUGACAUGACAGAGAACCCUCCAAACAAGCCUGUUGUGAUACAACACUAAUUCAGUAACAUCAAGUUUCUAAUUUGUCACUUUUCCAGACAUGAUGUUUUAUUUCAAGUUUUACUGAAGCCCAAGAGAUGAGUGCCAUCCUGUCAGUCACAACUCCAGGAAAGUCCUUGAAAAGUUAGUGGCUUCUUUUGAGGAAAAGCAGAGCCUCGGGAAGGGGGUUCUACUUAAGUGAAGGGCUUUCUGAUGUAAGGUCCAUCUCAAUCUACUCUGUAGGGGUUUUCAUUGAGGUGAAUGACAGUACAUUUAUAGUCAAUAUUUUAAUAAAUCUAUCUAGAAAGUAACAGAAGAAAAGAAAGUUCCUAUAAACAAAAAAGGGUGUAUAUUAAACAAUUCUUAUGUUGGAAACAUUUUGCAAAUUUCACUGAAGUUCUGUGCUUCCAUCCAUCCUCCUUUCCCAUACUCUCAUCUCAAAGAGAUGUUCAAAAGUUUUCAACUCUCAUUAGUUUGUUUCUGUUUACCUUUUUAACACAUUAUUCCCAUUGUAAUUAUAAAUGUGUGACUGUGAUACACUUACUGCUAAUAACAUUAUUUUUUAGCUAUUCAAAUUCACAAGGCGAUUGCUUGCCUUAUAAAAGAUUUCUUACAUGACACCAAGUAAACAGUGCAAGUCUUCAAACUUUUAAAUAUGUCCAUCUUUGAACAAGAAACAUAUCUGGAAAUUUCAUUAUUCUUCUGCUGUCUUUCAAUCAUGUUGAACUUUCACUAUCACUUGCCUAUUUAGUAGCUAGUGCAGUAUUACUGUCAAAAAAAUCUACACCUCACUACAUAAAAACUUGGAGUAGCAACACCAACUUAGCUUAUAGAUAAAUUAGGAGUAGCACUGUCUUUAUUUUUUCUCAAAAAAUAUAAAUAUUACAUGUGCUAAUAUGGGUUUAAGUAUAUGGAAGUAUAUGAACUGGAAUUAAUUGUAAGGGUUCACACCAGACUGAUGCUAAAAUUAUGCUAAAUAUUUAAAUCAAUGUACAUAUAUCAAAGUACUGUUUCUAAAUUAAAUUAAUUUUAAGCAUCAAGUGAUCCUUCUUACAGCUAAUAGGAAACCAGAAUUCUGGCCAGGAAAAAACACUUCAGCUUCAGCCUCCUCGACAGGUAGUAAACUGCUGCAUUGGAAAAGAUCUCACAGACUCUCCCUGAGGAUGCAUUUGCACUGGUUUGAUAGAUAUUUUGGACUUACAUAAACAAAAGAGAGAAAUUUGACAGCUAUAUUAAAUGCAGUCAUGACAACAAGGUAAGAGAGUAUUUCCUCUUCAAUAACUCUUCUGCAUAUUUUCUGUUUCCUCUAAAUCAAAGUCUGAAGUUCUGCUUUAUUUUGAAAAGGCAAUUAUUAUUGUUAACAGUAUUAACAAUCAUAAUAAUAAAUCUAGCCUAUUUUUUAGACAUUGCAAAGACAGCAAGAUUCUACAUUCUGCUUUCAGAGCCAUCUCACUGGUUCAGAAGAAGGUAAGAGAUAUAACUUCUAUAGCUGUACAAUAUGGAUACAGUCAACGAUAAAAACUAUUGCUUGAAAUAGGAAAA
Non-coding RNA from Taeniopygia guttata (zebra finch), 1928 nucleotides. The record is from RefSeq and is a predicted model, not a curated record. NCBI's taxonomy places the organism in Eukaryota, Metazoa, Chordata, Aves, Passeriformes, Estrildidae.